Molecule: ribosomal RNA, 253 nt
Filed under: uncultured bacterium
Lineage: Bacteria
Description: partial 16S ribosomal RNA
Rfam family: Bacterial small subunit ribosomal RNA
Source: RNAcentral
UACGUAGGGGGCAAGCGUUGUUCGGAAUCAUUGGGCGUAAAGAGCGUGUAGGCGGCUCGGUAAGUCCGCUGUGAAAGUCCAGGGCUCAACCCUGGAAUGCCGGUGGAAACUGUCGAGCUAGAGUCCGGAAGAGGCGAGUGGAAUUCCUGGUGUAGCGGUGAAGUGCGCAGAUAUCAGGAGGAACACCGAUGGCGAAGGCAGCUCGCUGGGACGGUACUGACGCUGAGACGCGAAAGCGUGGGGAGCAAACAGG